UACGUAGGGUGCGAGCGUUAAUCGGAUUUACUGGGCGUAAAGCGUGCGCAGGCGGCCCGUUAAGACAGGUGUGAAAUCCCUGGGCUCAACCUAGGAAUUGCGCUUGUGACUGGCGGGCUCGAGUACGGUAGAGGGGGGUGGAAUUCCUGGUGUAGCAGUGAAAUGCGUAGAGAUCAGGAGGAACACCGAUGGCGAAGGCAGCCCCCUGGGCCUGUACUGACGCUCAUGCGCGAAAGCGUGGGGAGCAAACAGG
Molecule: ribosomal RNA, 253 nt
Filed under: uncultured microorganism
Description: partial 16S ribosomal RNA
Rfam family: Bacterial small subunit ribosomal RNA
Source: RNAcentral